CAAAAUUAUAACAUUUUAAGACAAAAAUGCCGCUCUCCCAUUGUCUCUUUCCUCAGAUCUCAACCUCUCCGUCUCUUUCUUCUUCCUCCUCCCUUCCAUUCGAACCCUAGUUUUCCACGACAUCUCUCAAUAUUUAGAAAAUGGGGAAGCCAUCCAAAGGCAAGAAAUAUGAGAAUUUGGAAAGGGAAUAGUCACCCCCGUCCAAAUCGCCUUCAUCGUUGACCGAUACCUCUGCGACAACAACUACUUGGCACCAAAGAGUUUGCUAAGCGUGAUGAACACUUACAAUGUCGGCGGAAGCCCCACAGUCUCUGCACCUCGGUUGUGGCUCCGAAGUCGAUGCUUAUGGCUACUCUGUCUCACCUGUUUAAUGGAUCUGUUGCAGGUAUGAAGGUUUGGAUCGAUAUAUAAGGUCAAGACUUAUUCUGCAACCAAACUCAAUUUCGGUUUGUUGCUUCUAAAGUGGCGAUUGAUGGGUUCCUUUUUGGGCCAUUGGAUUUGCUUGUGUUUUUCACAUACAUGGGUUUUUCUGCCGGAAAGAGUUUUCCUCAAUUCAAGGAAGAUGGUAAAAGGGAUUUUCUACCAGCCUUUGUUCUGGAAGGAGGCGUAUGGCCGAUUGUGCAACUAGUAAAUUUUCGGUUUACACCUGUGAGAUAUCAGCUCCUCUAUGUCAACUUCUUCUGCUUGUUGGAUAGCUCUUUUUUGUCAUGGCUCGAGCAACAACAGGACGCUUCAUGGAAGCAAUGGUUGAAAUCCCGUGUACUUGUUAGCAAACAAAAGGGUGAAGGCGAUUGAUUGCCCUUGGACUACAGAUUCAGCUUUCGUUUGAGUCCUCGAUGAUUACAGUGGCUCACGUCAGAAAAGUAAAACAGUUGAGUGAGAGAACUAAGAUACCAACUUAGUUUUUGGAAGUUGGGAAUUCAGAAAAGGUGGAUUUGCUCUCAUGGUAAUCCAGUUUUUACUUGCGAUCCAAGUUUUCUUUGAUUUUUGUUUAACAGAUAUGAACAAGCAAAUAACAGCUGCUACUUCAAACCCAGGAAGAAAGUUACUGUAAAAUUAUUUACCAGAAACAUUAAUGUAAUCUGUAAUUUUUUUUUUUCAGCAGGCAAUUGAAAAAAAUGGAAUAUACAUAAUAUAAAAUUGAACAAGCAAACAAAAAAAAAAAAUCAUUCCCCAGAACACAAAGGUUUCGGGAUCUUAAUUCUUAACUCCAGACCGUUCGUUGGCCCUCGCUGCUGGAGCCGGAAGGGUUAAGACCGUACUCACUGGACAUUCCACUUUCUUUGGAGUAAAAAGUAAUCAAAUGGAUGAAUUUUGGAGUGGUUCCAAUUGGAGGAUGUUUGUGAGUCUUUCAAGAUGAUUGUGUCAAAAUUUCAGAUUUUUCUACCAAGCCGUUUGACUGUGGCGAAGAAAAGAAAGCCUAUCGCAGCUUUCCCAGAUUGAUGAUUUUGGAUGUUUUGGGUAUUUUGGAGAUCAAGAUGACAUAUUUUGAGGAAGAUUCCUUUUGAAGAUUUGUUAGAGACGUCUUAUGCUUUAAACAAGAUCUUUUCGGACCAAAUCGGAAUUGAUUUGGUUGGUUAAAAGUCUGAUUUUCUGAGAAGUCCGAAUUUCAGUUCAAAUAGGAAACCUUUUAUUUCCUUGUUAUCUUAUUCUAUUAUGUUUCAUAGUUUUUAGAAGACAUUUUCUAAGUAGGAUUUUAUUUUGUAGUAGUAUAAAUAAGGAUAUUUAGCCAUUAUAAACGAACGCAUCAAUUUGGAGAACUUAGCUAGGCUUUGACGUUUUAAGGUGUUUUCUAUCUUUUUUU
This is a long non-coding RNA of Pyrus x bretschneideri (Chinese white pear), 1804 nucleotides long. RefSeq lists it as uncharacterized. Lineage: Eukaryota; Viridiplantae; Streptophyta; Magnoliopsida; Rosales; Rosaceae. The transcript is spliced from 4 exons. The record is from RefSeq and is a predicted model, not a curated record.